This 254-nucleotide ribosomal RNA is filed under the name uncultured bacterium. Its description in RNAcentral is "partial 16S ribosomal RNA". It matches the Rfam family "Bacterial small subunit ribosomal RNA", at positions 524 to 776 of the family's 1533-position model. The record is from RNAcentral.
UACGUAGGGGGCGAGCGUUGUCCGGAUUUAUUGGGCGUAAAGAGCUCGUAGGCGGUUUGGUAAGUCGGAUGUGAAAUCUCCAGGCUCAACCUGGAGGGGUCAUUCGAUACUGCCAUGACUAGAGUUCGGUAGGGGUGUGUGGAAUUCCUGGUGGAGCGGUGAAAUGCGUAGAGAUGUGGAGGAACACCGAUGGCGAAGGCAGCCUUCUGGGCCAACACUGACGCUCAUGCACGAAAGCGUGGGGAGCAAACAGG